GGGUCUGUAGCUCAGGGGUUAGAGCGCACGCCUGAUAAGCGUGAGGUCGGAGGUUCAAUUCUUCCCAGACCCACCA
This 76-nucleotide transfer RNA is filed under the name Wolbachia endosymbiont of Howardula sp. RNAcentral describes it as "tRNA-Ile". It matches the Rfam family "tRNA". From Rfam's summary of the family: Transfer RNA (tRNA) molecules are approximately 80 nucleotides in length. Their secondary structure includes four short double-helical elements and three loops (D, anti-codon, and T loops). Lineage: Bacteria; Pseudomonadati; Pseudomonadota; Alphaproteobacteria; Rickettsiales; Anaplasmataceae. The record is from RNAcentral.